AAUGUGAUGGAUUGCUGGACUGAAUCGUCUGUCUAUAUGCAAAACGUAAAAAAUAUUAUGUGAGGUGAUUAUUUGGCUAUUCAGGAAAUAAUCUAAACUUCUAACUAGUACUAAGAAAUGGCGUCUCGCUUCAGCGGUGCCCUCCAGCUCACCGAUCUCGACGAUUUCAUUACUCCGUCGCAGGAAUGCAUAAAACCAGUAAAGAUUGAGAAGCCAAAAACUAAAACUGGUUCGAAAAUCAAGAUAGGGGCAGAUGGAUACUUUGAUAUCAGUGAAGGGAGAGAGCAGAAGCUUCAAAAGGUGGAGAUCACCUUGGCUGACUGUCUCGCCUGCAGCGGAUGUAUCACUUCAGCGGAGAGUGUAUUAGUCACCCGGCAGAGUCAGGAGGAGUUGCUAAAGGUGUUCUCCGAACGCAAACACACAGACAGCAAAGGCGUGACCCAAGAUGUGAGCGUGAUAGUGAUCUCACUUUCUCCGCAACCCGUGUUGUCGCUCGCCGCGCGCUACAAGCUCGAACCCGAAGAGGCGGCUAGCAGAUUAGCAGGUUACUUCAAGAAGCUAGGUGCAGACUUGGUCUUAGACAUGACUGUGGCUGAAGACCUGGUGCUGCUUGAAGCGCAGCAGGAGUUCCUCCAGCGGUAUCAGAACCAGCAGCACGAGCCCACGGCGCGUCAUCUACCCAUGCUGGCCAGCUCCUGCCCAGGCUGGGUAUGCUACGCCGAAAAGACCCACGGCUCCUUCAUCCUCCCCCACAUCUCGACCACCAAGUCCCCUCAGCAGACCAUGGGCUCACUCGUGAAGCAGCUCCUCGCGCGGCGCCGCGAGGUGAGCCCCGGCGCGGUGUACCACGUCACGGUGAUGCCGUGCUAUGACAAGAAGCUCGAGGCGUCCAGGGACGACUUCUAUAGCGACCUCACCAACUGCCAUGACGUCGACUGUGUCAUUACUGCCAUCGAGUUGGAACAGAUGUUGGGCCCCGCCGAGCUAGGAGACGCGCCCCCGUCGGCCCUCGACUGGCCGUGGGGGCACGCGCCGGGCGCGGGGCUCCGCAGGCACAUCGGCACCGGGUCGGGGGGCUACGCGGACCACAUCUUCCUGUACGCUGCUGAACAGCUGUUUGGAGAGACCAAGGCGGACCUGGUUUAUAGGAAUUUAAGGAAUCCUGAUUUUCGGGAAGUGACCCUUGAAAAAGACGGCGUAGAAGUUCUUCGGUUCGCGAUCGCCAACGGGUUCCGUAACAUACAGAACCUGGUGCAGAAGAUGAAGCGCGGCAAGUCGCAAUACCACUACGUUGAGGUCAUGGCGUGUCCUUCAGGUUGCCUGAACGGCGGUGCGCAGGUGCGGCCCGUGGCGGGCGAGAGCGGGCGCCAGCUGGUGGCCGCGCUCGAGCAGCUGUACCGCGGCCUGCCCGUGUCCGUGCCCGCUGACAACAAACUGGCUCGGAGGUAAUGAUAAUGUUCGCAGGUUGCCUGCACGGCGGUGCGCAGGUGCGGCCCGUGGCGGGCGUGAGCGGGCGCCAGCUGGUGGCCGCGCUCGAGCAGCUGUACCGCGGCCUGCCCGUGUCCGUGCCCGCUGACAACAAACUGGCUCGGAGGUAAUGAUAAUGUUCGCAGGUUGCCUGCACGGCGGUGCGCAGGUGCGGCCCGUGGCGGGCGAGAGCGGGCGCCAGCUGGUGGCCGCGCUCGAGCAGCUGUACCGCGGCCUGCCCGUGUCCGUGCCCGCUGACAACAAACUGGCUCGGAGGUAAUGAUAAUGUUCGCAGGUUGCCUGCACGGCGGUGCGCAGGUGCGGCCCGUGGCGGGCGAGAGCGGGCGCCAGCUGGUGGCCGCGCUCGAGCAGCUGUACCGCGGCCUGCCCGUGUCCGUGCCCGCUGACAACAAACUGGCUCGGAGGUUAUACACGGAGUGGCUCGACGGGCGGGACUCCGACAAGGCGCGAGCGAUGCUGCACACGUCCUACCACGCCGUUGAAAAGUCCGACGUCGCGCUCAACAUCAAGUGGUGAACUUAAACUUUAAGUAUACCGUGCUAAAGUCGUAUUUGCCUUGUGAGACUACUUCCGUCGUAAUUCGAUCGCGUUCAAUCGUAAGUGAUGAUACUGAUGAUUUAUACUUUAAGCCCCUUAUUCAUAAACGUCUACUAAAGUUACGAAGUAUUGGUAUGUUGGAAAGGGACAAACGAUUACUAGCGGCAUCGUAACUUUAGUAGACGUUUAUGAAUAAGGGGGUAUGUGUAUAAUACUAGAGUUCAAUUUACAUUGGACGCAAUGUGUUGAUUAUAUCGUUAUCUCAUGUGGCGUGGCACCGUGUUAAUUUAUACCUUAAUCUUGCAGUGUUAAAAUCGGUUUUGCUUUGUAAGCAAGGUUUGCAAUAUCCUCAGAACAACAUCAGUGGUGGAUUAGACUUUAAAUUCAAGUGAUAAAGUCGAGUUUACUUUGUAAGUGGAGUGUUGACAUAGUGGAAAGGUUGUUUGUAUCAUAAAUGUGAUACCAAUUGGUAGCAGAAAUGCUACCGUGUGACUGUUUCGAUUCCGCCACUACGAGAAUCCAAACAGAUUGCUAAAAUAACACAUUGUGUUGAUGAUUGAAUUAUAAUAUUUGUAACUGAUACUUGUAUAUCUGUCCGAGACAGAGUAAUUUUACUACUGACAGCUAAUUUGGUGAUACUGUACUGAAAAUAGUAAGUAUACCCAAAAUAAGAAUAUCGAUACUAGCGAUGUAUAAAUAAAAAUAACUUAAUAUACCUAAGUUUUUUCUUUCUCAUAUUAUUAGUAAAACAAUUGGCCAAGUGUGAAUCGGACUCGCGCAAGAAGUGUUCCGUACCAAAAUGAAAAAAAGGGCAAAAAAAUCACGUUUAUUGAAUUGGAGCCCCACUUGAAUAUUUAUUUUAUUCUGGAUUUAGUAUUUUUUGUUAUAGCGGCAACAAAAAUACAUCAUCUGUGAAAAGUUCAACUGUCUAUCACAGUUCAUGAGAUACAGCCGGGUGACAGACAGGCGGAAAGUGGAGUCUUAGUAAUAGAGUCUCCUUUUUACCCUUUGGGUAUGGAACCCUAAAAAGAACCGCUUGUUUUUCGGUGUUAAUAAGGCUAAUUAAAAUUCGACCUUAAACAAAGUGAGUGAAGGUUUACAAUCAAAACAAGAUCAACGUAGGGCGAUUACAUUAGGGCCCCUUUUACGUCGCGUGUUUAACGGUUGUGUACACUUGUGUUACAUAAGUUACAUGCAAAUUAGGUUGAGUAGGGGCGUGUUAAAGGGCAACACGUGUCAUUUCACCAAUUUCAACUUAGGGAAAAAAUCUAAUUAUUUUAUUAAAUAUUUUGAUUUGUAUUUUUAGGGCUCAUUUGACGGCACGCAAACUCGCAUGCGAGUUUAAUUACAUUGCGGUAUUUGAUCGGUCUGCUGAAUUGGAUGUAACCUCAAUAGUCCGCAAUGAAACUUAAAUCGCAUGCGAGUUUGCGUGCCGUCUAAAUGAGCCCUUAAGUCGUUAAUAUUUUUAUACAUAAAUUGUAAACUGAAAUAGAUCUCUAAAAAUGUAUGACAGAGGGCUAGGUCUAGGGUAGGUAGGACUUCUUUUUUUCAAAGUUGAAAGUUUUUUUAUUAUACGUAAGAAUCAGGUUAGGGUAGGUAAACAUCGUGAGGAAACAGGACUAAUCCCAACAAGGCCUAGUUUACCCUCUGGUUUGGAAGGUCAGAUAGUAGUCGCUUUGCUAAACUAGUGCCUACGCCAAAUCUUGGGAUUAGUUGUCAAGCGGACCCCAGGCUCCUAUAAGCCGUGGUAAAAUGCCGGGACAACGCGAGGAAGAAGUAAAAAAAGAAGAAGUAAGAAUCAGGUUACAAGUAUUGCUGGUCGAAUAUACAAUAACACAUUCAGUUACACUGAGACUUUACCAUUUUACGUGUACAUACACUUACAACUUUAUUGCACAACGUCAGAAUAAAUGUACAUGAAAACACAUAUAACGCAUGAAAAUAGAGGUAAACAACAGGCGGGCUUAUUGUGUUAUUUAUGUACAUAUGUACCUACUUCAAAUACUUAUGAGUAACUUAGAUAAUCAUUAAUACAGUUAAAAAAAUCUAUAAGCCACCUUUAUUUGUUCGAGUUGAAUAGAGUUUGAGAUGCAUAUCUUUAAAACAAUUAGGUAUCUUGUUAUAAUUUAAAACGAUUAGGUAAUUUGUGAUACACAUAAUAUACCUAGGCGUUUAUUGCAGUAAGUGACAAGUUUACAUGGCUUAGGUAAUCUAUGUUUAUAUUUAGGUCUUUACUGUUUUUCGACAUCUAUUUCAGUGUGUAAUUUGAAAAAAAUGUUUGUAAUAGUUGGCAAUUAUUUAAAAUAAUACACUUUUAUUUAUAAGACUCAAAGUAAAGUCUAACAGAAAUUGCAAAUAAUUUAAACAACUGGCACAAUUUGUUAGCAUCUGACGUAUAACCUUAAAGUUUUAUGAUGGUUGUUUUCAUUGAAAUAUUAAUGUUAAGUAGUAAUUGAUAUAAUUAAAAGUUUAUAUCCUUAAAAACUGUUGAUAAAAUCAUGGUUGCCCACAAAAAGUACGAUUACGAAGAAAUGAAGGUAAAUAGGUUUGUUUACAUUAUUUGCAGUUUCUAUUGGAUUGCACUUUGCACUCUUAAUAAUGUUAUGGGCUCACUCAAUAAUGUCAGGGACUCACUAAAUAAUGUCUUGGACUCACUAAAUAAUGUUAUCUACUCACUAAAGUAUUCGUUUAUUUUAUAACUCAAAUCUCAAUGCAAAUAAAACUCAGUAACUUGUUCCAGCCUGUUUUAGGCACGUCAUAUGCGUAAUAUCAAAUGGGUAUUAUAAUAUUGUGAAAUUGUUUUAAAUGUUAAUAAAGUUGGUGAUACUUUUGUUUAAAUGAAGCACGCCAUAAACUCGUUAAACGCGUGUAUGAAUAAUAGGUAAAGUACUCAAUAAUUGACCCCUUAAAUGACGUAAUUUAAAUGGCGUAAGUCAUAGGCCAUUUAAGGGGCCAAUUCUUUGGGGGCUGAAACAAGUUUAUUCAAUGUCACUUAUAAUAGGUAUAAAUGUUAUGUAUAUUUUGUUUGUGAUACAAUUGAUUGUUAUGAGAAAAUGAAAUAUAUAAUAUGACUUGUUUAA
Molecule: RNA transcript, 5105 nt
Organism: Cydia pomonella (codling moth)
Lineage: Eukaryota; Metazoa; Arthropoda; Insecta; Lepidoptera; Tortricidae
Gene name: probable cytosolic Fe-S cluster assembly factor GI11683
Exons: 9
Source: RefSeq, a predicted model, not a curated record